GAUGAACGCUGGCGGCGUGCCUAAUACAUGCAAGUCGAGCGAACGGACGAGAAGCUUGCUUUUCUGAUGUUAGCGGCGGACGGGUGAGUAACACGUGGAUAACCUACCUAUAAGACUGGGAUAACUUCGGGAAACCGGAGCUAAUACCGGAUAAUAUUUUGAACCGCAUGGUUCAAAAGUGAAAGACGGUCUUGCUGUCACUUAUAGAUGGAUCCGCGCUGCAUUAGCUAGUUGGUAAGGUAACGGCUUACCAAGGCAACGAUGCAUAGCCGACCUGAGAGGGUGAUCGGCCACACUGGAACUGAGACACGGUCCAGACUCCUACGGGAGGCAGCAGUAGGGAAUCUUCCGCAAUGGGCGAAAGCCUGACGGAGCAACGCCGCGUGAGUGAUGAAGGUCUUCGGAUCGUAAAACUCUGUUAUUAGGGAAGAACAUAUGUGUAAGUAACUGUGCACAUCUUGACGGUACCUAAUCAGAAAGCCACGGCUAACUACGUGCCAGCAGCCGCGGUAAUACGUAUGUGGCAAGCGUUAUCCGGAAUUAUUGGGCGUAAAGCGCGCGUAGGCGGUUUUUUAAGUCUGAUGUGAAAGCCCACGGCUCAACCGUGGAGGGUCAUUGGAAACUGGAAAACUUGAGUGCAGAAGAGGAAAGUGGAAUUCCAUGUGUAGCGGUGAAAUGCGCAGAGAUAUGGAGGAACACCAGUGGCGAAGGCGACUUUCUGGUCUGUAACUGACGCUGAUGUGCGAAAGCGUGGGGAUCAAACAGGAUUAGAUACCCUGGUAGUCCACGCCGUAAACGAUGAGUGCUAAGUGUUAGGGGGUUUCCGCCCCUUAGUGCUGCAGCUAACGCAUUAAGCACUCCGCCUGGGGAGUACGACCGCAAGGUUGAAACUCAAAGGAAUUGACGGGGACCCGCACAAGCGGUGGAGCAUGUGGUUUAAUUCGAAGCAACGCGAAGAACCUUACCAAAUCUUGACAUCCUUUGACAACUCUAGAGAUAGAGCCUUCCCCUUCGGGGGACAAAGUGACAGGUGGUGCAUGGUUGUCGUCAGCUCGUGUCGUGAGAUGUUGGGUUAAGUCCCGCAACGAGCGCAACCCUUAAGCUUAGUUGCCAUCAUUAAGUUGGGCACUCUAAGUUGACUGCCGGUGACAAACCGGAGGAAGGUGGGGAUGACGUCAAAUCAUCAUGCCCCUUAUGAUUUGGGCUACACACGUGCUACAAUGGACAAUACAAAGGGCAGCGAAACCGCGAGGUCAAGCAAAUCCCAUAAGGUUGUUCUCAGUUCGGAUUGUAGUCUGCAACUCGACUACAUGAAGCUGGAAUCGCUAGUAAUCGUAGAUCAGCAUGCUACGGUGAAUACGUUCCCGGGUCU
This 1372-nucleotide ribosomal RNA is filed under the name uncultured bacterium. Its description in RNAcentral is "bacterial SSU rRNA". It matches the Rfam family "Bacterial small subunit ribosomal RNA", at positions 28 to 1381 of the family's 1533-position model. The record is from RNAcentral.